Molecule: long non-coding RNA, 914 nt
Organism: Dipodomys ordii (Ord's kangaroo rat)
Lineage: Eukaryota; Metazoa; Chordata; Mammalia; Rodentia; Heteromyidae
Exons: 5
Source: RefSeq, a predicted model, not a curated record
UUUACUUCAUUUAGAAAAGAUUUACAUUUACUUCUUCUUUCUUACUGAAAUCCCAGAAGGACGACAUUAAUUCUCAGCUUCAGGUGUGUUGGGCUUAUCCAAUUAGUGAAUAUUUCUGACUCCUGUGAGUGUCUGCUUGUGAAAUAGGUUUAUUUCCUUCUUGUCUCUGCGAUUGCAAAUAGGCAGUGCCCUGGGUGUGUGAGGCACUGGCGCUUCCUCACCCGGCAGAUGGAUUCUGCACAUCUGGAUGAUGGGCAGUAUCCUGCAGGCUCAGCAUUUAGUUGGGGUCAGAUGAAAGGGUAUUUUCACAUCCUCCUCUGUGCCAAACAACUUCUCUCAGGUGCACUAGCCAGUUAGUGAGAUUACCACGUGCAUGUUCCUUCAGUAAAAAAGAGCUAAACCUUUUUACUUGGAUAAAGGAGACAGCAGAGACAGGAUUUGUUAGCCCUUGGUCUAUUUCAAACAUUACCUGCGUUAUUUAUGCAAAUAUAUGAGAUCACAAAGCUCUGUUGAAACUAUUUACAGAAACAGAUCUUGAGAAAUGCACCUUAGCAGAGAACAGGAGAGAAAGUUUAGGACAGAAAACAUUAGGAUGACUCUUCAAGGAAUAAAUUUGAAUGACCAAAAGAAGAUUCUGGACAGGAGAAAACAUGAAUCAAGUGAAUCAAGUGCUGAUAAGAACCAAGGGCCUUGACAUGCUAGACAAGAGUUCUACCAUUUAGGUACACUGACAUCCUCUAACAUAUUCCUGAAUACUCAUACCCUGUUAGGACAGAUGAUCCUGCUUGUAGCUAGAAAAGACUGCAUAGUAGUUAAAAUGUAUCUGGUGUGGAAGCCACUGCAUUCCUUAGGAAUACAAGGCAUAAAAAUCAAUAUAUUUUUAAAUAUUCAAGCCUAGUGCUAAAAAUCUCACA